CGUAGGUGGCGAACGUUAUCCGGAAUUAUUGGGCGUAAAGGGUGCGUAGGCGGCAUGAUAAGUUAUUGGCGGCAAAUCGAGGCUCAACCUCGUGGAAACUGAUAAUACUGUCUUGCUUGAGUGCAGAAGAGGUUAACGGAACUCCAUGUGGAGCGGUAAAAUGUGUAGAUAUAUGGAAGAACAUCAAUAACGGCGAAGGCAGUUAACUAUUCUGUUACUGACGUUGAGGCACGAAAGCGUGGGGAGCAAAAAGG
This 254-nucleotide ribosomal RNA is filed under the name uncultured bacterium. Its description in RNAcentral is "partial 16S ribosomal RNA". It matches the Rfam family "Bacterial small subunit ribosomal RNA", at positions 526 to 776 of the family's 1533-position model. The record is from RNAcentral.